CUGGCUCAGGAUGAACGCUAGCGACAGGCUUAACACAUGCAAGUCGAGGGGCAGCAUAGAAGUAGCAAUACUUGGUGGCGACCGGCGCACGGGUGAGUAACGCGUAUGCAACCUACCUAUCAGAGGGGAAUAACCCGGCGAAAGUCGGACUAAUACCGCAUAAAACAGGGGCACCGCAUGGUGAUAUUUGUUAAAGAAAUUCGCUGAUAGAUGGGCAUGCGUUCCAUUAGGUAGUUGGUGAGGUAACGGCUCACCAAGCCGACGAUGGAUAGGGGAACUGAGAGGUUGGUCCCCCACACUGGUACUGAGACACGGACCAGACUCCUACGGGAGGCAGCAGUGAGGAAUAUUGGUCAAUGGGCGGGAGCCUGAACCAGCCAAGUCGCGUGAAGGAAGAAGGAUCUAUGGUUCGUAAACUUCUUUUGCAGGGGAAUAAAGUGCAGGACGUGUCCUGUUUUGUAUGUACCCUGAGAAUAAGGAUCGGCUAACUCCGUGCCAGCCGCGGC
Molecule: ribosomal RNA, 506 nt
Filed under: uncultured bacterium
Lineage: Bacteria
Description: bacterial SSU rRNA
Rfam family: Bacterial small subunit ribosomal RNA
Source: RNAcentral